UCAAGCGAAUAAGUGCAUAUGAUGGAUGCCUUGGCGAUCACAGGCGAUGAAGGACGCGGUAGCCUGCGAAAAGCUACGGGGAGCUGGCAAACAAGCUUUGAUCCGUAGAUGUCCGAAUGGGGAAACCCACCGUAGUAAUACGGUAUCCCAUGCUGAAUACAUAGGCAUGUGGAGGCGAACCGAGUGAACUGAACCAUCUCAGUAACUCGAGGAAAAGAAAUCAACCGAGAUUCCGGAAGUAGUGGCGAGCGAAACCGGACCAGCCUGGAUGUUUUAGCGUAUUGAAUAGUCGAAUGGAAUGGAAAGUCCAGCCGUAGCAGGUGAUAGCCCUGUAGGCGAAAUUCAGUACGUGGAACUAAGCAUCGAACAAGUAGGGCGGGACACGUGAAAUCCUGUCUGAAUAUGGGGGGACCAUCCUCCAAGGCUAAAUACUCGUGAUCGACCGAUAGUGAACCAGUACCGUGAGGGAAAGGCGAAAAGAACCCCGGAAGGGGAGUGAAAUAGAUCCUGAAAUCGUAUGCAUACAAACAGUAGGAGCACCCUCGUGGUGUGACUGCGUACCUUUUGUAUAAUGGGUCAGCGACUUACAUUCAGUGGCAAGCUUAACCGAAUAGGGGAGGCGUAGCGAAAGCGAGUCCGAAUAGGGCGGUUCAGUCGCUGGGUGUAGACCCGAAACCAGGCGAUCUAUCCAUGGCCAGGUUGAAGGCACGGUAACACGUGCUGGAGGACCGAACCCACUAAUGUUGAAAAAUUAGGGGAUGAGCUGUGGAUCGGAGUGAAAGGCUAAACAAGCCUGGAGAUAGCUGGUUCUCUCCGAAAACUAUUUAGGUAGUGCCUCGUAUAUUACUGCCGGGGGUAGAGCACUGUUAUGGCUAGGGGGUCACAGCGACUUACCAACCCAUGGCAAACUCCGAAUACCGGCAAGUACAGUACGGGAGACAGAGCACCGGGUGCUAACGUCCGGACUCAAGAGGGAAACAACCCAGACCGCCAGCUAAGGUCCCUAACUAUGGCUAAGUGGGAAACGAAGUGGGAAGGCAUAGACAGUCAGGAGGUUGGCUUAGAAGCAGCCAUCCUUUAAAGAAAGCGUAAUAGCUCACUGAUCGAGUCGUCCUGCGCGGAAGAUGUAACGGGGCUAAGCCAUAGACCGAAGCUGCGGAUGUGUACUAUGUACACAUGGUAGGAGAGCGUUCCGUAAGCCUGUGAAGGUGUUCCGUGAGGAAUGCUGGAGGUAUCGGAAGUGAGAAUGCUGACAUGAGUAGCGAUAAAGGGGGUGAAAAGCCCCCUCGCCGUAAGUCCAAGGUUUCCUGCGCAACGUUCAUCGGCGCAGGGUGAGUCGGCCCCUAAGGCGAGGCAGAGAUGCGUAGCUGAUGGGAAGCGGGUUAAUAUUCCCGCACCGUCGUAGAGUGCGAUGGGGGGACGGAUUGCAGAAUGUUAUCGGGGUGUUGGAUGUCCCCGUUGGCGCAUCAUAGAAGGCACUUAGGCAAAUCCGGGUGCGUAAUUCAAGGGUGUGACUGGAUAGAGCUUCGGCUCUAAACUAACUGGAAGCAGUUCCAAGAAAAGCCUCUAAGCUUCAGCUCUACGAGACCGUACCGCAAACCGACACAGGUGGACGGGAUGAAUAUUCCAAGGCGCUUGAGAGAACUCAGGAGAAGGAACUCGGCAAAUUAAUACCGUAACUUCGGGAGAAGGUAUGCCUCAUUAGUGUGAUGUGCCUGCGCACAAAGCAUGAAGAGGCCGCAGUGAAUCGGUGGCUGCGACUGUUUACUAAAAACACAGCACUCUGCAAACACGAAAGUGGACGUAUAGGGUGUGACGCCUGCCCGGUGCCGGAAGGUUAAGUGAUGGGGUGCAAGCUCUUGAUCGAAGCCCCGGUAAACGGCGGCCGUAACUAUAACGGUCCUAAGGUAGCGAAAUUCCUUGUCGGGUAA
RNAcentral lists this ribosomal RNA (1931 nucleotides) under Rhipicephalus microplus (southern cattle tick). RNAcentral's name for it is "bacterial LSU rRNA". It matches the Rfam family "Bacterial large subunit ribosomal RNA", at positions 3 to 1979 of the family's 2925-position model. Lineage: Eukaryota; Metazoa; Arthropoda; Arachnida; Ixodida; Ixodidae. The record is from RNAcentral.